RNAcentral lists this ribosomal RNA (246 nucleotides) under uncultured bacterium. RNAcentral's name for it is "partial 16S ribosomal RNA". It matches the Rfam family "Bacterial small subunit ribosomal RNA", at positions 87 to 334 of the family's 1533-position model. The record is from RNAcentral.
UAUGGCGACCGGCGCACGGGUGAGUAACACGUAUCCAACCUGCCGAUGACGUGGGGAUAGCCUUUCGAAAGAAAGAUUAAUACCCGAUGGCAUAGUUCUUCCGCAUGGUAGAACUAUUAAAGAAUUUCGGUCAUCGAUGGGGAUGCGUUCCAUUAGGUUGUUGGCGGGGUAACGGCCCACCAAGCCUUCGAUGGAUAGGGGUUCUGAGAGGAAGGUCCCCCACAUUGGAACUGAGACACGGUCCAA